This 2981-nucleotide long non-coding RNA is filed under the name Homo sapiens (human). RNAcentral describes it as "HSALNT0324794". Lineage: Eukaryota; Metazoa; Chordata; Mammalia; Primates; Hominidae. The record is from RNAcentral.
GCCAAUGCCUUCUGGUGGCCACCCCCUCAUUGUUGCUAUGGCACUGUUGUGCCCUGCUUUCUCACAAGACCUUUGCCAGAAACUCCUCCCUGAUCCUGCCUUAAAUGCAGAGUCCCCUGCCAGCCCCCACCCUUCUUCUUCUCUGACCCCAGGCACUUCACCCCACCCUGGCUUCAGCCUACUUUCCUCACCUGCCCGCGCUCAGCCGGCUGCCUCUUCCCAGUGGGCCGGGACUGAAGGGUAGGGAUUGAGCAGGUGCUCACACGCACCUUCCUACUUGCUCACCUUACUUCCACUUGGAUGUGCUAUCAUCACUCAGGCCAGACGCAUCACCGCGAAGCCCACCCAGCUGCCCUCUCAGAAUGCCCUUCUGCCUGGCCCCAUUGUCCCUGUUCUGAAUAAUGCCACAGCCACUCAGAAACGCGUUGGAAAGGAGAGCAAGUCCUGGAGCCUCCCUUCCACAGCCACUGGGAAAUGAUUCUGAUAGGUGACGUUUUUCCAGUUCCCACUGUGGUCCAAUCCCCACAGAGAAGCUGGGAACAUGGGGCUGGCAUGGCCAGGGGAGGGUCUCAGGGUAGCCUGCCCAUUUUACUGAUAUGUUUCUGUAACAGAAUCCUUGUAGUGGGAAGUCAGCCAUUCCCAGCACAGGCUGGGCACUGCACUGGCAUAGCAGGGUCACCUGUGGGGUGGUGGCGUGGACUGAAAUCUCUCUACAAACAUCCAGUGUGAGCUGCGCUCCAAACAUUUCAUGUGAUGAUGGCCUGUGUUCGUUCUCUCUCUCUCUUUCCCUCUUUUGAGUUAUGUGUGUGUGUGUGUGUGUGUGUGUGUGUGUAUGUAUUUGUGUUGGGGUGGGCAGGUGUGAGUGUAUGACAAAUAUACACAUACAAAUAUAUAUGAAAAGUUUAUAUAUGUGUGUACCUAUAUGUCCACAUAUUUUCAUUCAAUACUCAUCUAUUCAAUCAACUAUUUGAGUGUCAACUAAAUGUGUAUAUAAAUAUAGGACCAUAUUGAUAUUGUAAUUCCUCUCUUGGAUUCAACAUUCUAUGAUGUCCAACUGAAAGUGAUGGUGCUCUUUAUGACAAGAAUAAUCUUUAUUUAAAUGGUUUAGACAUGAGCAGACUUGAUAAUUGUACUAAUAACAUACUUGUAUCGGUGGUAUCCUUGAGAACUAACUCUAAUUCAUUAACAGUUUGAAAACACCAGGUGGAACUUCUUCAGUGAAAACUGCAAAAAUGCACUGCACAUGUGGAGGGGCUAAGGCAAGAUCUGUAUUCUCAUUCCGUAGUUACAGCCUUCAUUUUUGCUUUCUUAGCACUGAAGAUUGCCAGCCAGCCUGAGCAGGAGCCUCACCCAUGGCCCCAGUCCUGCGGGCAGCUGGAGUGGGGCAGAGUGCUAUUUGGUAACCCACACACACACAGGGAGGGCAGAUAUAUCUGGUGUCCCCUACACAGUGUUUAAAUUUUAAAAAAUCACACAAAAAUGAUGGUCACUGUCUUUUCUUGAAAACAUGUGAGUCCAGCUACACCAAGCUUCCCACGGGAUUGCCAUCGGCUGAAGCAGGCUGAGCUGGGUGGGCUCUCCGCGCCACUGUGGGCUCACCAUGCUGUACUGGACUCCACUGGCCUUUGCAAAUGUUUAAAUUCAUGAUCCCAGCUCUACUGAACCAGGAGUUGGCAAGUGUCUUCUGCAGAGGAUCAUGCAGUAAACAUUUCAGGCAUCCGAGCCCCUUCUGUCUCUGUGGCAGCUACUCAGCUCUGCAUUUCUGCUGCAACACAGCCUCAGAUAAUACCUAAGCCAAUGUGCAUUGUUGAGUUUAAUAAAACUUUAUUCAUGGACACUGAAAACUGAAUUCUCUAGAAUUUUUACAUGGCAAAAAAUAUAUUUGUUUUUUUUUGUUGUUGUUCAACCAUUAAAAAAUUUAUACAAGUGAUUAUUAGCUCCAGGGCCUUAAAAAAGCAAGUAGUAGGCCAAGUGUAACCUGUGGGCUACAGUUUGCUGACCACUAGACUAGUACACAGACUUUGAGAAUUAGACAAAUUUUAUUCAAAUCAACUGCUCACAUAAAGCAAUCCGUGUGCAUGAGACUUCACCACGAUACCAGUGCUGGGUGGGCCCCAUCCCUUGCUAUCACAAAUGCUACUCUAAAACUGGAAUGAACACAGACAAGACCAAAGGAGAAAACUACAGAAGAAGGCAUGGGGUCACUGUUGAUUUUGACUGACUGGCUCUCCUGUAGGUAAAUUUCCAGAUGCGGGUAAGACACAGAGAGUGUGACAAGGCCGGGGUAAGAAGGCGUUGGUCACAGGGAUUGCAAACUCAGGCAGAAGGACAAGAGAAUGACGGGCUCCUCCUAACGAAGGGACAAGGAAGCAGCCUCCUGAAUUCAACCUGGAACCUUCCUACAGCAAUUAUGAAAAGGGAACAUACAAGAUUGACCGGAAAAUGGUGACAACCUCAUUCAUUCUCAUCUCUCCCAGAAGGAAAGCAAUUAAAAGGUGAUCUUUAACUCAUGGUUCUCAAGGAGUGUCCUUUAAUUAUGUUUCCCUGCUCCGGCAAGUUUAAUUGUGUACAUUUCUGGCUUCUGUUAGCCUUAAACAUGAUGUGAGACAAGCCGGCAGAGCUUACACUCUGCUCUCUACACGACCUUGUUUUAGGCACCCUGGCCCUAGCAUUUCCAGGGAGAGCAUUGAGCCUUGCAAACUCAAGGCUUUUAGCAUUGCUCUGAAAAGUAAACAAGUGGAGGAUAGAUUCCAAAAUAGUGACCCCGGCUUUCAAGAGCAGGUUUGCUGGUGUCUGUUGGGCUGCAUUGCAGAGACGGUUUCCACGGUUGUCAUGUCCCCACUGAAUAUUAGAAUGGGCUACUCGCCUUUCCUCGAUGUACCCAAACCUCAACAUUAAUCAGACUUUGUAAAUCUCUGAUUUUGUAAAUCAGAUUUUGUUUGUCAAUAUUCUAAUUAAGAGUUUGAGAGACUAGACAUGAG